CGACUAGGGGAGUCCGUCCUGCCGUCCGCUUCCACCCCCCGCCCCCGGCCCCCGUUAUAGCUGUCAAGAUCGCCAAUCCCCGCGGCGAAAUCCCAGGAGGAGGAAGGCACUCGGCAGAAACAAAUUCGCGCCAGCGCCGUCGAGCGAGAGAGAGAUACAGAGAUGGCGUCGGCGAUCCGCUUCGCUGCGGCGCUCCGUCAGCGGCUUCCACGCCUCCUGUCCUCCGCCACCAGAUCUGUGCCGCGAGCGCUCGGGGAGG
This 259-nucleotide ribosomal RNA is filed under the name Triticum aestivum (bread wheat). Its description in RNAcentral is "partial small subunit ribosomal RNA". The record is from RNAcentral. Lineage: Eukaryota; Viridiplantae; Streptophyta; Magnoliopsida; Poales; Poaceae.